Molecule: transfer RNA, 55 nt
Filed under: Coniopteryx sp. YW-2016
Lineage: Eukaryota; Metazoa; Arthropoda; Insecta; Neuroptera; Coniopterygidae
Description: tRNA-Ser
Source: RNAcentral
AGCUUGAAUAAGCACAUACUUUGAAAGUAUGAGAUAGAAUAAUUUCUAUUAAUUU